This 253-nucleotide ribosomal RNA is filed under the name uncultured bacterium. Its description in RNAcentral is "partial 16S ribosomal RNA". It matches the Rfam family "Bacterial small subunit ribosomal RNA", at positions 524 to 776 of the family's 1533-position model. The record is from RNAcentral.
UACGUAGGUGGCAAGCGUUGUCCGGAUUUACUGGGCGUAAAGCGCGGGCAGGCGGUCUGACAAGUCUGAUGUGAAAUCUCCGGGCUUAACCGGGAGAGGCCAUUGGAAACUGACAGGCUGGAGGGCAGUAGAGGUAGGCGGAAUUCCGGGUGGAGUGGUGAAAUGCGUAGAGAUCCGGAGGAACACCAGAGGCGAAGGCGGCCUACUGGGCUGCACCUGACGCUGAGCCGCGAAAGCCAGGGGAGCGAACGGG